UAGCUGGUUAUUCAAAAAAAGGAUAUAAGUCCAACUUAAAAUUUCUUUAUAACCCUAAAUAUAUUUAUAAAUUUUAAAUUAAUUCAAAUAAGGUACAGCCUAUUUGAAAUAGGAUACAACCUACAACAGAGGGUAAUGUUAUAAAAAUAUGACCAAGUUGACCUAAAAGCAGCCACCUUUUAAAAAGCGUUAAAGCUUCAUCAUACUACACCACCAAUACCAACCCCAAACCAAAACCCCUCAUUAAUAUUGAAUGACUCCAUAACUGUAUGGAAAACUCUAUGUCUGAAUUAGUAACAAGAACAACUUCUCCAAUAAACGUAAAUGUAAGCCAGAAUGAACCAAUCACCGGCACUUAUCGCAAAUAAACCUACAGUAAUAACUAAACAAGAAAACUUUACUUUUUAAAACGUUAACCUUACACUAGAACUUUCCUGGAAAGAUUAAAAAAAGAGGAAGGAACUCGGCAAACAUUAACCACGCCUGUUUAC
Molecule: ribosomal RNA, 491 nt
Filed under: Xenorhina sp. 1 ENR-2011
Lineage: Eukaryota; Metazoa; Chordata; Amphibia; Anura; Microhylidae
Description: partial 16S ribosomal RNA
Source: RNAcentral